CUUCAACCUCUCUCGGUAACAACACAUCUGCACGACUGUUGCGGUUGUUUAACUUUCAGCUUCAAUUAAAUAAUAUCGAUUUCACUAAGCAACCCAAUAUGCGGACUUUAGACAUUGUUUGCUGUAAACCUAUAUGUUUCAGCCGGUCUUUUUGUGAUGAACACCGUCUCCGGUGACCUCUGCUUGUGUAAAGUCCGCUGCUUGUGUAACAUGAACGUUAGCUAACAGCGUUAGCUAGCGUUAGCUGCACCACAGUCAGUACCUGCUGCUGUAGCUGUGGAGCUAGUUAGCUGCCUGUUCAAACAGCCAGCUCGUAGUAAGUUUUGAGAUGUUUGCCCAAGUGAGAACACGUCUGGGCUCGACUUUGGCCAGACUGCCCAGCUGUUUAGGUUCAAGGGCGACAAGAGGAGUAACGCCUGCCCUCUGCAAACACCAACACCGGAGUUUGAGCACAGAGUCUGCUGGUGUCCGGGUGCUGUACGAUGGCCUUUGUCCCAUAUGCGUGACAGAGAUCCGUUUCCUCGAGUUUCUGCAGAGAAAUGAGUCCGGCAAAGUACAUUUUAUUGACAUCGCCUUGCCAGAUUAUGAUGGAGCAAAAUACCACAACGUCACCUAUGAGAUGGCCAUGGAGGUGAUGCAUGUGAUCGAUGAGAAUGACCAGAUUCAUCGCGGCAUCCCAGCGUUUGCAGUCAUGUACAGCGCAGUGGGCCUCGGCUGGUUGGGUCGCUUCAUGAUGUGGUCGCCUGUGAGGCCGUUUAUGGACAAAUCUUAUGCCAUCUUUGCAAAGAAUCGCCUUAAGUGGACCGGACGUGGGGAGGAGUGCGUGGCAGGACGCUGUGAAAAGAAAAUACGGUGAUUCUUGACCUGAAGAAGAAAAGGGAACUGUUCAAACAGGUUAUGAAGAAGUGCAUAAAUACCUCAUGGUCGAUCCUGUAUAGCCACUGACAUUAAAGGUUAAUAUAUGUUGCUGAAAGUGAA
Molecule: long non-coding RNA, 978 nt
Organism: Acanthochromis polyacanthus (spiny chromis)
Lineage: Eukaryota; Metazoa; Chordata; Actinopteri; Pomacentridae
Exons: 3
Source: RefSeq, a predicted model, not a curated record